This 221-nucleotide unclassified non-coding RNA is filed under the name uncultured Marasmius. Its description in RNAcentral is "sequence contains ITS1". Lineage: Eukaryota; Fungi; Basidiomycota; Agaricomycetes; Agaricales; Tricholomataceae. The record is from RNAcentral.
UUGAAACAUUGCGAAGGAUAGUUGAGCUGGCUCUUCAAGGGCAAGUGCUCGCUGUUCUUUCAAUCUUCAUCCACCUGUGCACCUUUUGUAGUGAGUUCGAGAAACAUGAGGCUCUUUAAGUAGAGCUUCUAAGUAUCGGGCUCUCUAUGUCUUUACAAACUCUAUAUGUAUGUCGUUGAAUGUCUUUACAAGGGACUUAACUGGACCUUUUAAAAACUAUA